UAAUCAACUGACAGCCCAAAAGUUUUUGCUGCAUUUAGACUGAAGAAGCUGCUUAAGAGGUGAUAAGCAGCUGGUUAUAUCCCUCUGCCGAGGUUCAAUCUGCGUCGCCUGAAUUUUAAACAGAUGUCUUUUUUUGCUUUUGAACCUGUGAUUCUGUCAGGUGGAUGAGCUGCGGUGGAAAACACACGGCGUGCCCAUUUCUAGCUUUUCAACGCAGCCACUUUGAAGCUCGAGCUGUGAAAGUCUCUCCGGGGAGAUGAGUGCGCCUGAUGCCCCAUCGCACCUGCUCGCUCACACAGCUCAAUCAUUCACACAUUCACCGCCAUGCUUCUGUGAACAUCUGUUGCAAAGCACAUAAGGGGGCUCUACAGUGUGAUAUCGCUCUUCACCAUAGGUUCGCUUACAGUUCAACACAGAAUCUGUCGAUCUGAAGGAUCUAACAGCGUGUGCUUGGAAUAUACCAUUCGUACAGAUGUUGGACAUCUAAAAAUAAAUAUUACGGCUAAAUCAUUAUUUGUGCAUUCAUUUGACAUUCGAUUGACUGUGCGUUUCUCUUUACAUGUAGCUCAAUGGAAAGUUCUAGCAUUUUUUUAAAUAUCAAAUUUGAGAUUGUCACACUACUCUCUCUCUCACUCUACACACUGCAUCGUGUACAUGGGAACCAAAUUGCAGCACUUAGCCACAGGCCGAGCUCUUUGCUCAUUGCAGAGUGCGGUUUGUCGAGCAGGAUCAGGUUAUUUUUCCAGCUAUUGGGGUAAUUUUCUUGUUUUGUAACCUGUGUUCAGUGUCCUCUUUGACAGGCACUUUUGCAACAGAGCCUGAUUUGUUCUUGCUUCAGAUGAACACAGAGCAGCAGUAAGUACCACAUGAAGUGUGUUAUACAAUUGAUCAAAACAUACAAGAUGCGUACACGAUGGUGGGUAAAUAAUAAUUAUAAUAAUAAUAAUAGUAAUAAUAAUAAUCAGCAAGCCAGAAUUCAUUUGUAUUAAAAGACAAGAAAGUUAACGCUAGUUAAUGCUAGUGUAAGCAUUAGAGAUUUUUUGCUAAUUUUUUAGGGAGAGCAUUGUGGCUUCAUCGACGUGUGUGGUACAUUAGUGGUUAAGGCAUUGGUCUUUGGAGCCGAAAGUCUUGAGUUAAAAUCCCAGCCACACCAGUGCCACCCCUGGGCCACUUAGCAAGGCUCAAGCUACUCAGUUGUAUGAAUGAGAUGAAAUGUAAGUUACUUUGGAUAAGGGUGUCUGCCAAAUUCCAUAAAUGUAAGUGUUUUUUAUUUUGUUAAAGGAAAAAAAUGGAGUUGGUGAUGGAACUGCUGUUUAUAGCUACUACAAUGUCAUAUAAUAUUCUUAUAAAGAACAU
This is a long non-coding RNA of Silurus meridionalis, 1356 nucleotides long. RefSeq lists it as uncharacterized. The transcript is spliced from 3 exons. The record is from RefSeq and is a predicted model, not a curated record. NCBI's taxonomy places the organism in Eukaryota, Metazoa, Chordata, Actinopteri, Siluriformes, Siluridae.